RNAcentral lists this long non-coding RNA (390 nucleotides) under Brassica napus (rape). RNAcentral's name for it is "long non-coding RNA (BNAP_LNC018949)". The record is from RNAcentral. Lineage: Eukaryota; Viridiplantae; Streptophyta; Magnoliopsida; Brassicales; Brassicaceae.
AGACCCUCAAAUCAAAUACAUGAGAAGACUUCUGAAAGAUUUCUGGAAGACUUUGCUUUAGGCGGAAAACCUAAAUUCUACUAAAUUUUAGGCGGGAAUAUGUCAGAAGACUUCCCAAGAAGUCUUCUAGAAGUUUUUCAAACCAUAACCUAAUAAACUAACUAACUAGAUAGAAAAAAAACAAUUCAUUAAACUUAAAAUCAACUUAUAAAUCGUUUAAUAUACACAAAACUAAACACAUGUAGAUCAAUUUUUUUUAAAAAAAGUUAAGGUUCUAAAAUUAAACCCUAAAUACAAACAAUACUAUAACACAUGUAACUAAACCAUAAACCAAAGUUCUCUAGGAGUCUUCCAGGCCCUAUAAUCAAAAAAACUAAGCAAAAACCCUUC